AACAAAAAAAGAUUUUCAUUUUUAUUUUUGUGUCAUUUAGAAUAAAAUUUAUUAAAUUGUUGCAUUAAAACAAAGCAAAUUUGAAACAAACAAAUUAUGAUUAGACUAGAUUAAACAAAUUUAAUAAAUUUUUGAAAAAAAACAAACUGGGCAGAAGGAAAAAGGUGAAAAUAUCAUGGCCAGCAGCAAUCAUUUUGAGACACCCACAAUUGCAUCGAAUUCAUCAUCGAACGCGGAGUUUUAUGAUGCAGAAAGUAAUGAUGAUAGUGAUACAUGUUGUGUUUUCAAGAGCUUAGCCGAAAUAGAAGUGACGCGAAUAACUAAAGAGGGAAAGUUUACAGAAGAAUUCUGCUGUGCUAAAUGCGGACGAAGUGUACAGGAACUUAUAGACAGGGAAAAGUUGAAACAAGAAGAACUUAAAACAAAUGCUUUAGAUAAAAUGCAAACACUAGCUGAAGUCGAACCUUUGGAAAAACAAGAACUACAUACAAACAACACUAGCAAUGAUUCACGAGCUUUAGAAUCGAUUUCCGAAAGCGAUUCCUUUACCACACCGGAACUUUCAAAAGACUCGGUUUUAGAGGUAUCACCGGAACAAAACAUAAAAAAUGAUACCAAUAACGCUUUAACAAACACAAAUUCCUUGAGUAGUGCCGAUAGUGCUCUAAUACAGGAUCCCAUAUGGCGUGGCCAUAAAAAACAUAUUUUCAUAUUGAGUGAGGCUGGUAAACCCAUUUACUCUCUACAUGGUAGCGAAGAUAAAUUGGCAAUACUAUUUGGUAUUAUACAGGCUCUAGUGAGUUUUGUGGAAAAUACUCAAGAUGUUUUAACGUCCAUACAUGCCCGUGGCAUACAGUUUGUGUUUAUGAUUAAAAGCCAUUUAAUAUUUGUUGCCGCCUCAAGGACAAAUAUGAGUGUUGCGCAAUUGCAAAUGCAAUUAAACGAUGUUCACAAUCAAAUUCUAUCUACGCUUACAUUCACCCAAUUAACGAAAAUUUUCCAACAUCGUAAAAAUUUCGAUUUACGCCGUCUACUAGAGGGUAGCGAACGUUUAAUAAAUAAUCUGUUGUUGAACGACAGUAGCAAUAAAAAAGUAACAAAUAAUGUGUUUACAUUUCUAACCAAUUCAAUAAGAUGUCUACCCAUGCAGCCGUCGAUACGUUCCAGUAUAGUGAGUGCUAUAAAGGAUAAUUGUGGUAAAAUUAAGAAUUUAGUAUUUGCCAUAUUAAUAGCAAAGAAUCGUUUAAUAUGUUUGGUACGCAUGAAAAAGUAUUCAAUACAUCAAUCGGAUUUAAGAUUAAUUUUUAAUUUAAUCGAUAGUACGGAAUCAUUUAAAACCUCUGAAAAUUGGACACCUAUUUGUUUGCCCAAAUUCGAUAUGAAUGGUUAUUUGCAUGCUCAUGUUUCGUAUCUAGAUGAUGAAUGUCCAGCCUGUUUACUAUUGCUCACUGUCGAUCGUGAUGAUUUCUUUACCCUAUCGAGUGCUAAGAAAUCCAUUACAGAAAAAAUGAAACGUUCUCAAUGUUUGGAAAAUAUCAACGAAUCGGUGCAGCAUAUAACAAAUCUUAAAUAUCAAUUAAAUGCUCAAAAUAUUGGCAUUCCUGAAUUGAGGCAUUUCAUUUAUAAACCUAAAUCAACUGCUCAAGUACUAUGUUCAGAAUUAGUACCACCCUAUACAUCGCUGAUGGAAUUUGAACGUUUAGAGGGUAUUUACUGUGAUCUAAUGGAAAGAGUACAUCAUACAGCGAGACCUUUGAAAUUAAUAUUUGAAGCAAAAAGUAGUGAAGUUAUAUUGGCCUGGUCCACGGCUACCUAUGAACUUUAUGCCAUUUUUGAACCUUUAACAAAGAAAAGUACUGUCAUUAAAAAUGUUGAUAAAUUAAUUAAAUGGAUUGAUAAGGAAUAUGAUACCUAUUUUAUACGUACUCAUCCAACAUUUUGAUGAUGAUGUUUGAAAUUUGAAAUAUAUACAUACAACAACAACAAGAAAAGCAAUUUCAACAACUUUAAGUAUUCUUCAAUGUUAACAAUUAAACACAAUUAAAUCUACUCAGCUAAUAAAAUCGAUUUGCUGCUGUGUGAUCCUUGCACUAUGGAAUUGUGUACAAAAAAAAAAAACAACAAAAUUUCAAGAAAUCAAAAACAAAAAAGAAUUAUUCAAGAAACCACAAGUUUAAACUUUGAGAGUUUUUAAUAGCAAAAGAACGAGCAUGUUUGCAGAUAAAACAGGUAAUUA
Molecule: RNA transcript, 2236 nt
Organism: Lucilia cuprina (Australian sheep blowfly)
Lineage: Eukaryota; Metazoa; Arthropoda; Insecta; Diptera; Calliphoridae
Gene: Mon1
Gene name: protein SAND
Exons: 5
Source: RefSeq, a predicted model, not a curated record